AUGUUUUACAAGGUUGCAAAGUUUGGUGUUUUUGUUGCUACUGCCCUAGGUUUUGUUGUUCUUGCAUGGUUUGUUGUUCCACAUGUUGGCAAGGUAUCUACCCCUCAAAGCUUCACUCCUAUUUUCUGUGUUUGCUGUGGCAUUCGAAAGUUAAAACUUGAUGCCACUCUUUUGGACAGGAUCGUUCAAAAUUCUUCUUAUUUUAGUUUGCAAGCUCAGAUAGACAAACCUUAUAUUUGUGUUCAACAUAAUAGUGGAGAUAAUGUAAAAAACUGGCAAUACGGCCCUAACUAUGUUAUUGUUGACUCCUAUGAAAUGUAUGGAUAUGGUGACAUGCUUUAA
This 342-nucleotide ribosomal RNA is filed under the name Triticum aestivum (bread wheat). RNAcentral describes it as "partial small subunit ribosomal RNA". The record is from RNAcentral. Lineage: Eukaryota; Viridiplantae; Streptophyta; Magnoliopsida; Poales; Poaceae.